AUGCCCCUGCCCCUGCCCGUUCCCACCUCCCGCCUCCUCGCCGCCAUCUCCGCUGCUGCGUCCUCAACUGCAGACCUCCGCCGCCUCUCCCACCUCCUCCUCACCUCCUACACCCCACUCCCCCCGCUCCGCUGCCUCAAUACCCUCCUCAUGGCGCUCGCCCGCCACCGCAUGCUCCCGGACAUGGAGUCCUUCGCAUCCCGCAUGCCCGCGCGCAACCUUCGCACGUACACCACCCUUAUCAAUGCCUACUGCCUCGCCGGCGACCUCCCUGCUGCCAAGCGGCAUCUUGCCUCCCUACUCCGCGCUGGUCUUGCGCCGGACUCUCAUGCGUAUACCUCAUUUGUUCUCGGAUAUUGUCGGGCGGGGCUGCUUUCGCACGCCUGCCGGGUGUUCGUGCUAAUGCCGCUCCGAGGAUGUGCACGCACUGUGUUCACGUACACUGCUCUGCUCCAUGGGCUGUGUGGCGCCGGUAUGGUGCGUGAGGCUGUGGCAGUGUUUGCUGGGAUGCGGGCAGACGGGUGCGCCCCUGACACACAUGUGUAUGCCACGAUGGUGCAUGGACUGUGUGGGGCGGGGCGAACUGGAGAGGCAGAGGUUCUUCUCGCGGAGGCAAUGGCUGAGGGUUUUGAGCCAAAUGUGGUCGUCUACAAUGCCCUGAUUGAUGGCUACUGCAAUGCCGGGGACCUGGAGCUCGCGGUUAAGGUUUAUGAGAGGAUGGAUCUUAAGGGCUGCUCAGCAAAUGUGCGAACGUAUACUGAGCUGAUAUGUGGGUUCUGCAAAUCUGGCAAGGUGGACAGAGCCAUGGUGCUGUUCAGCCGGAUGGUCGAGGCUGGUUUGGCUCCAAAUGUGGUGACAUACACGGCCUUAAUUCAGGGGCAGUGCAAUAAUGGGCAGUUGGAAUGUGCUUUUAGGAUGCUCCAAUCGAUGGAGGCCACCGGGCUGGUUCCUAGUGAGUGGACUUGCUCGAUGUUGAUUGAUGCUCUGUGCAAACGUGGAAGGGUUGGGGAAGCUCAGUUGUUUCUUGGGUCUCUUAUACAGAAAGGAUACAGGGUGAAUGAGAUUGUCUACACCAGCUUGAUUGAUGGACUGUGCAAGGCAGGAAAGGUUGAUGCUGCUGACAAGUUAAUGCAGAAAUUGGUUUCACAGGGGUUUGUGCUAGACGCUCACACAUACAGUUCACUAAUUGAUGGAUUAUGCAGGCAAAAGGAGUUGUCACAAGCGAUGUUGGUGUUGGAUGAUAUGAUGGUGAAAGGAGUACAACCCAAUGCUGUCACGUAUACCAUUCUAAUUGAUGAGCUUGUUAGGGAGCUAGGACCUGAAGGUUCAAAGAAGAUACUUAAUAAGAUGAUUGCGGCAGGAAUUAAGCCUGAUGUUUUCACCUACACAAUAUUUGUUCGCUCCUACUGUCAUGAGGGAAGGAUGGAAGGUGCUGAACAUAUGAUGGUUGAAAUGGUUGAUCAGGGCAUUUCCCCUAAUUUAGUGACAUAUAACACUUUGAUUAGUGGGUAUGCAAAUUUAGGACUAGCCAGUCAAGCAUUUUCAGUUUUUAAGCACAUGGUUGCUAGUAGGUGCAAGCCAAAUGAGGUGUCCUACACGGCCCUGCUUAGAUUAUUGGUAAAGAAAAAAUCCUCUAAUAAUAUCCUUGCCAGCUCUGUUGAUAUAUGGAAAAUAGCAGAAAUGGAAUAUCUCCAGGAGCUUCUGGAGGAGGUGGUUAAGCUUCAGUUGCUUUCAGACAUUGAAAUUUACAAUUGUUUUCUUAGGUCUUUAUGCCGAGUUGAUAGAUUGGAGGAAACCAAAAUUUUGCUCGGUGAGAUGCAGAGUGCUAACUUGACCCCUGGCGAGGAUGUAUAUACUUCAAUUAUAGGGUGUUGUUGCAGACUAAAAAUGCCAACAGAAGCUUUGACAUUUCUUGAUUCAAUGAUCAAAAGUGGUUAUUUACCACGUGUAGAAUCGUAUAGGCAUAUUAUUUGUUCUCUUUGUGAGGAGGGAAGUAUUAAGACUGCUAAAAAGGUUUUGGGUGACAUGUUAUUGGAGGAAUACAACUAUGAUGAGAUAGUUUGGAAGAUUCUGGUUGAUGGUCUAUUGCGGAAGGGCAAUGCUGCCGAGUGUUUGAUUCUGCUCUCAGUGAUGGAGGAGCAAGAUUAUCGCCCUGGUGAUGCAUUGUAUGCCAAGCUUACAGAUGGCAAGGCAGUUGUCGUCACAGGAAGAAAGAAGGGUAUUUUAUUUGUCAGGAUUAGGGAUAUCAAUUACCUGCUUGAAGAGAUAUAUACAACACCGAAGUUGAAUUGUUUGUUGAGUUGA
This 2304-nucleotide ribosomal RNA is filed under the name Triticum aestivum (bread wheat). RNAcentral describes it as "partial small subunit ribosomal RNA". Lineage: Eukaryota; Viridiplantae; Streptophyta; Magnoliopsida; Poales; Poaceae. The record is from RNAcentral.